UUAGAGUUUGAUCAUGGCUCAGAUUGAACGCUGGCGGCGUGCUUAAUAUAUGCAAGUCGAGCGGUAACAGGCGUAGCAAUACGUGCUGACGAGCGGCGAACGGGUGAGUAAUGCUUCGGAAUCUUCCUCGUAGUGGGGAAUAACCUGGGGAAACUCAGGCUAAUACCGCAUACGAACUACGGUUGAAAGCGGGGGAUCGCAAGACCUCGCGCUAUGAGAUGAGCCGAAGUCGGAUUAGCUUGUUGGUGAGGUAAAGGCUCACCAAGGCGACGAUCCGUAGCUGGUCUGAGAGGACGACCAGCCACACCGGGACUGAGACACGAGCUAGACUCCUACGGGAGGCAGCAGUGGGGAAUAUUGGACAAUGGGGGCAACCCUGAUCCAGCGACGCCGUGUGUGUGAAGAAGGCCUGCGGGUUGUAAAGCACUUUUAGUGGGGAUGAAAAGCCGAGGGCUAAUACUCUUCGGUCUUGACCUAACCCAAAGAAAAAGCACUGGCUAACUCUGUGCCAGCAGCCGCGGUAAUACAGAGGGUGCAAGCGUUAAUCGGAAUUACUGGGCGUAAAGCGUGCGUAGUCGGUUAUCUAAGUCGGGUGUGAAAUCCCCGGGCUCAACCUGGGAAUUGCAUUCGAUACUGGAUAGCUUGAGUUCGGCAGAGGGAAGCGGAAUUUCCGGUGUAGCGGUGAAAUGCGUAGAUAUCGGAAGGAACAUCAGUGGCGAAAGCGGCUUCCUGGACCAGAACUGACGAUCAGGCACGAAAGCGUGGGGAGCAAACAGGAUUAGAUACCCUGGUAGUCCACGCCAUAAACGAUGACAACUAGACGUUGGGCGGGUAAGCCGCACAGUGUCGCAGCUUAC
Molecule: ribosomal RNA, 857 nt
Filed under: uncultured bacterium
Lineage: Bacteria
Description: bacterial SSU rRNA
Rfam family: Bacterial small subunit ribosomal RNA
Source: RNAcentral